This 599-nucleotide ribosomal RNA is filed under the name uncultured ciliate. Its description in RNAcentral is "SSU rRNA". It matches the Rfam family "Eukaryotic small subunit ribosomal RNA", at positions 347 to 964 of the family's 1831-position model. Lineage: Eukaryota; Ciliophora. The record is from RNAcentral.
UGGCAGUCACGGGUAACGGAGAAUUAGGGUUCGAUUCCGGAGAGGGAGCCUGAGAAACGGCUACCACAACUAAGGAAGGCAGCAGGCGCGUAAAUUACCCAAUCCUGAUUCAGGGAGGUAGUGACAAGAAAUAACAACCUGGGGAGCUCAUGCUCUUACGGGAUUGCAAUGAGAACAAUUUAAACGACUUAACGAGGAACAAUUAGAGGGCAAGUCUGGUGCCAGCAGCCGCGGUAACUCCAGCUCUAAUAGUGUAUAUUAAAGUUGUUGCAGUUAAAAAGCUCGUAGUUGAACUUCUGGCUGCGGCUAGCGUCGGCUUCGGUCAUGCUAGUCGUGGUCAUCCGUCUGUGAACUAUAUUCAUCCUUCACCGGUUGGUAUAGGGAAUAGACAUUUUACCUUGAAAAAAUUAGAGUGUUUCAGGCAGGCCUUUGCCGGAAUACAUUAGCAUGGAAUAAUGGAAUAGGACUCGUCCAUUUUGUUGGUUAUUGGUUACGAGUAAUGAUUAAUAGGGACAGUUGGGGGCAUUAGUAUUUAAUUGUCAGAGGUGAAAUUCUUGGAUUUAUUAAAGACUAACUUAUGCGAAAGCAUUUGCCAAGGA